Molecule: transfer RNA, 85 nt
Filed under: uncultured Eubacteriales bacterium
Lineage: Bacteria; Bacillati; Bacillota; Clostridia; Eubacteriales
Description: uncultured Clostridiales bacterium tRNA-Leu
Rfam family: tRNA
About the family: Transfer RNA (tRNA) molecules are approximately 80 nucleotides in length. Their secondary structure includes four short double-helical elements and three loops (D, anti-codon, and T loops).
Source: RNAcentral
GCGCUCGUGGCGAAAUUGGUAUACGCGAUAGAUUUAGGUUCUAUUCUCGCGAGAGGUAGGGGUUCGAGUCCCCUCGAGCGUACCA